GGAAGACCACAGCUCAGUGGUAGAGCAUCUGCUUUGCAGGCAGAAGGUUCCUGGUUCAAUCUUGGGCAUCUCCA
This is a non-coding RNA of Podarcis lilfordi (Lilford's wall lizard), 74 nucleotides long. The record is from the annotation of a GenBank genome assembly. NCBI's taxonomy places the organism in Eukaryota, Metazoa, Chordata, Lepidosauria, Squamata, Lacertidae.